GGCUAACGCGAUGGGGGCCUCAGCCCGGCGCACAGCGCCCAAGAGCAACCCCCUUGCGACUUAACACACAGGCACUUGGCCGCCUUGAUGAGGAGCCUAAGAAAAGUGAGUGCCCCAGCCCAAACAUGCCAGGAAGGGAGCUGGAGACCUGCACGCCAGGAGGAAACGUCCGUCCUCACGCUUCUUGCUCUGCAGCAAACCUCUCCCCCAGGAUCCAACCUACCGCGCUCCAGAGUCAGCAGAAGUCACUGAAAACAGCUUGGCACGAGGCAGAUGGGCAACAGCCUCUCUUGGCAUGUUGAACCCUGAGCUGCCCUCUCCAACCGCUGAAACCUGCAGAAUCAGCAGGAGUCACAGCGGGACCUUUGGUCCUCACUCGGUAAAUUGAACACCAGGGACUGCAGGCUCCUUCACGGGUGUCUGCUCCAUGCACCAGCCUAGCUCUGUGCUGAGCAAGGAAGUGGAGGUGGCCCGGGGCUAGUGUCCAGAGCAUGAGCCUGGAGCCGGCACCGCGCGGCAUCGCUCCCCCGCAGCGCAGCUUUCGCAGCCCUGCCGCGAGCAGCACGCUCUUCAUCGUUGUCUGCUGCAAGCUCGACUUGCUCAGCGGUGAAGAGAGCCUCGAACCUCUGUCUGAUUUUGGUGUUGUUUCACUUGAGGGGAGGCCAGAUGUUUAUCUUCCCCCUAAUAAUUUUUUGAGCCAUCCAUCCAUUUAUUUAUCUUUUUCAUGCUUAAUGAUUUGCAAAAGCAUAAAGAGCCUGUGGUUUGGAAACCAUGCUACAAUCUGAGGAGUGCAGAGACGGAGUCUGAACUACUUUCUAACAUGAAUAAAUAAACAGCAUGGAAAGGCUCCAUUGUGUAUAUUCCAGGUUGCUAUUUUCUUAACCCUAUCUCAUUAAGAUGGAUGGAGUUUCUGCUUAUUAGUAAUUUGGCAAGUUCCUCUUUGUGUGUACUCUGCACUUCUCACUAAUGAUGCUUUGCUUCAGUGAUUAACAAAAGAGACUUCCAACAUAGUCAGUGAAAACACAGCCACGCACUUGGGGCGCUCGGCGGAAACCCAGCAUUCUGGGGAUGCGGUUUGCUGAAGACAAGGACCUGCAGGGAACCCAGAAAAGGAAAAGCUGCUGAUCAUAAAACCUUUUCUGACAUUCAAAUAAUAUUGACCUAAGGACAUUGGUUCUUUGAUUUACAUGCACAAUUGCAGAACUGACAGAGCCUAAAACAAAGUGAUUCAAAGCCCUUAUGCUGCUGUUCCUAAAAUGUGUCCGAUGGAGAUGAAGUUGGCACUGCUACUGCCUGGAUUUACAGCUGGCCAUUAAAGUAUGUUUACAAGCCUUUA
This is a long non-coding RNA of Struthio camelus australis, 1336 nucleotides long. RefSeq lists it as uncharacterized. The record is from RefSeq and is a predicted model, not a curated record. Lineage: Eukaryota; Metazoa; Chordata; Aves; Struthioniformes; Struthionidae.